GCCGUGUGCAUUUUUUGCAUGUUGAUUUGUGAGUGUGUGUGUGUGUGUGUGUGUUGGGGUCUAUCAGGUGUCAGUCCCGGUGUUGCCCCAGGCCAGGCGGGGUGACCGCUGGUCUUGGGACCCGGAUGAGGAGCGAAAGCGUCAGGAAAGGUGGCAGCAAGAGCAGGAGCGCAUGCUGCAGGAGAAGUACCAGCGCGAGCAGGAGAAGCUGAAGGAGGAGUGGGAGAAAGCACAGAGGGAGGUGGCGGAGGAGGAGAGGAAGUACCACGAGGAGGUGUGUGCAUGUUUAUGCUUGAGGGCACAUGUUGCACCCGUGAUGUGUUUUUUUGGUGUAA
Molecule: long non-coding RNA, 335 nt
Filed under: Sander lucioperca (pikeperch)
Lineage: Eukaryota; Metazoa; Chordata; Actinopteri; Perciformes; Percidae
Description: lncRNA (ENSSLUG00000006856.1)
Source: RNAcentral